UAUUUGAGAGGCAUCUCUUGAAUAUCAAAGGUGAGCCAGUACAGGAUGGACCCGCGUCUGAUUAGCUAGUUGGUAAGGUAACGGCUUACCAAGGCGACGAUCAGUAGCCGACCUGAGAGGGGGAUCGGCCACAUUGGAACUGAGACACGGUCCAAACUCCUACGGGAGGCAGCAGUGGGGAAUAUUGCACAAUGGGCGAAAGCCUGAUGCAGCAACGCCGCGUGAGUGAUGAAGGCCUUCGGGUCGUAAAACUCUGUCCUCAAGGAAGAUAAUGACGGUACUUGAGGAGGAAGCCC
RNAcentral lists this ribosomal RNA (296 nucleotides) under Clostridioides difficile. RNAcentral's name for it is "partial 16S ribosomal RNA". It matches the Rfam family "Bacterial small subunit ribosomal RNA", at positions 173 to 493 of the family's 1533-position model. The record is from RNAcentral. Lineage: Bacteria; Bacillati; Bacillota; Clostridia; Peptostreptococcales; Peptostreptococcaceae.